This is a non-coding RNA of Triticum aestivum (bread wheat), 131 nucleotides long. The record is from Rfam. Lineage: Eukaryota; Viridiplantae; Streptophyta; Magnoliopsida; Poales; Poaceae.
UAAGUACUCUCUCCGUUCCAAAAUAAGUGUCAUGGUUUUAGUUCAAAUUUGGAGUGUUUUGAACUAAAACCAUGACACUCCAAAUUUGAACUAAAACCAUGACACUUAUUUUGGGACAGAGGGAGUAUUAA